Molecule: long non-coding RNA, 327 nt
Filed under: Pan troglodytes (chimpanzee)
Lineage: Eukaryota; Metazoa; Chordata; Mammalia; Primates; Hominidae
Description: long non-coding RNA NONPTRT017259
Source: RNAcentral
UCAUCAGGGAAACAGGAACAAAGAUACCUCCUGUGAGAUGUACAGCAUCUGACCCAGAGUAGAAGGUGAUGAUGAUGAUGAAGAAGAUGAUAGCUCAGCCCUCAGGGAGCAUGGCUGAGAGGCCAGGCGUGCUUUACGCACUUCAUAUUCAUUGAUCCUCUUAAUCUUCUUGGCAACCCUAGGAGGUGGGGACUACUAUUCUUUUUCUUUACAGACGAGGAAACUGAGGCACAGUGAGGUUAAGUGACUCCUGGCAGGAUGUACAGCCAGUGAAUGACAGGGCUGAGAAUUGGACCCAGGCUGUCUCGCUUCAUAGCCCCCCACCCU